CAAUCGGCCCUUUUCAGGGCCACCACAUUUCUAUAACGUAUGAUA
This is a non-coding RNA of Nasonia vitripennis (jewel wasp), 45 nucleotides long. The record is from Rfam. NCBI's taxonomy places the organism in Eukaryota, Metazoa, Arthropoda, Insecta, Hymenoptera, Pteromalidae.